Molecule: ribosomal RNA, 1063 nt
Filed under: Enterococcus faecium
Lineage: Bacteria; Bacillati; Bacillota; Bacilli; Lactobacillales; Enterococcaceae
Description: bacterial SSU rRNA
Rfam family: Bacterial small subunit ribosomal RNA
Source: RNAcentral
CAGUCGAACGCUUCUUUUUCCCCGGAGCUUGCUCCACCGGAAAAAGAAGAGUGGCGAACGGGUGAGUAACACGUGGGUAACCUGCCCAUCAGAAGGGGAUAACACUUGGAAACAGGUGCUAAUACCGUAUAACAAUCAAAACCGCAUGGUUUUGAUUUGAAAGGCGCUUUCGGGUGUCGCUGAUGGAUGGACCCGCGGUGCAUUAGCUAGUUGGUGAGGUAACGGCUCACCAAGGCCACGAUGCAUAGCCGACCUGAGAGGGUGAUCGGCCACAUUGGGACUGAGACACGGCCCAAACUCCUACGGGAGGCAGCAGUAGGGAAUCUUCGGCAAUGGACGAAAGUCUGACCGAGCAACGCCGCGUGAGUGAAGAAGGUUUUCGGAUCGUAAAACUCUGUUGUUAGAGAAGAACAAGGAUGAGAGUAACUGUUCAUCCCUUGACGGUAUCUAACCAGAAAGCCACGGCUAACUACGUGCCAGCAGCCGCGGUAAUACGUAGGUGGCAAGCGUUGUCCGGAUUUAUUGGGCGUAAAGCGAGCGCAGGCGGUUUCUUAAGUCUGAUGUGAAAGCCCCCGGCUCAACCGGGGAGGGUCAUUGGAAACUGGGAGACUUGAGUGCAGAAGAGGAGAGUGGAAUUCCAUGUGUAGCGGUGAAAUGCGUAGAUAUAUGGAGGAACACCAGUGGCGAAGGCGGCUCUCUGGUCUGUAACUGACGCUGAGGCUCGAAAGCGUGGGGAGCAAACAGGAUUAGAUACCCUGGUAGUCCACGCCGUAAACGAUGAGUGCUAAGUGUUGGAGGGUUUCCGCCCUUCAGUGCUGCAGCUAACGCAUUAAGCACUCCGCCUGGGGAGUACGACCGCAAGGUUGAAACUCAAAGGAAUUGACGGGGGCCCGCACAAGCGGUGGAGCAUGUGGUUUAAUUCGAAGCAACGCGAAGAACCUUACCAGGUCUUGACAUCCUUUGACCACUCUAGAGAUAGAGCUUCCCCUUCGGGGGCAAAGUGACAGGUGGUGCAUGGUUGUCGUCAGCUCGUGUCGUGAGAUGUUGGGUUAAGUCCCGCAAC